GAUGAACGCUGGCGGCGUGCUUAACACAUGCAAGUCGAACGGAAAGGCCCUGCUUGCAGUUUACUCGUUUGGCGAACGGGUGAGUAACACGUGGGUGCUCUGCCCUGUACUUUGGGAUAAGCCUGGUAAACUGGGUCUAAUAUCGCCUAUAACAAUUGUUUGUCUGCUAUUAUGGAAAGCUAUUGAGGUCUGGGAUGAGCUCGCGGCCUAUGAGCUUGUUGGUGGGGGAAUGGCCUACUAAGGCGUCGACGGGUAACCGGCCUGAGAGGGUGGAGGGCCACAGGGGAACUGAGAAACGGCCCAGACUCCUAAGUGAUGCGGGAGGGGGGAAUAUUGCAUAAUGGGCGAUAGCCUGAAGCAGCGACGCGGCGUGGGGGAUGAAGGCCGUCGGGUUGUAAACUCCUAUCGCAACCUAUGAAGCCUUUUGGUGACGGUAGGUGGAGAAGAAGCACCGGCUAACUACGUG
Molecule: ribosomal RNA, 466 nt
Filed under: uncultured bacterium
Lineage: Bacteria
Description: partial 16S ribosomal RNA
Rfam family: Bacterial small subunit ribosomal RNA
Source: RNAcentral